RNAcentral lists this ribosomal RNA (404 nucleotides) under uncultured bacterium. RNAcentral's name for it is "bacterial SSU rRNA". It matches the Rfam family "Bacterial small subunit ribosomal RNA", at positions 355 to 776 of the family's 1533-position model. The record is from RNAcentral.
UGGGGAAUCUUGCACAAUGGGGGAAACCCUGAUGCAGCGACGCCGCGUGAGCGAUGAAGCCCUUCGGGGUGUAAAGCUCUUUCGGCUGGAACGAUAAUGACGGUACCAGCAGAAGAAGCUGCGGCUAACUACGUGCCAGCAGCCGCGGUAAUACGUAGGCAGCGAGCGUUGUUCGGAGUUACUGGGCGUAAAGAGUGCGUAGGCGGUGCGGCAAGUCUGGUGUGAAAUCUCCCGGCUUAACUGGGAGGGUGCGCUAGAAACUGCCGUGCUAGAGUGUGGGAGAGGUAAGCGGAAUUCCUGGUGUAGCGGUGAAAUGCGUAGAUAUCAGGAGGAACACCUGCGGUGUAGACAGCUUACUGGACCAUAACUGACGCUGAGGCACGAAAGCGUGGGUAGCAAACAGG